GGAGGGAUGGCAGAGCGGUUGAAUGCGGCAGUCUUGAAAACUGUUGAGCCCGCAAGGGUUCCCAGGGUUCGAAUCCCUGUCCCUCCGCCA
RNAcentral lists this transfer RNA (90 nucleotides) under Candidatus Peregrinibacteria bacterium. Its description in RNAcentral is "tRNA-Ser". It matches the Rfam family "tRNA". Rfam says of the family: Transfer RNA (tRNA) molecules are approximately 80 nucleotides in length. Lineage: Bacteria; Candidatus Peregrinibacteriota. The record is from RNAcentral.